RNAcentral lists this ribosomal RNA (253 nucleotides) under uncultured bacterium. RNAcentral's name for it is "partial 16S ribosomal RNA". It matches the Rfam family "Bacterial small subunit ribosomal RNA", at positions 524 to 776 of the family's 1533-position model. The record is from RNAcentral.
UACGUAGGGCGCAAGCGUUGUCCGGAAUUAUUGGGCGUAAAGAGCUCGUAGGCGGCUUGUCACGUCGGGUGUGAAAGCCCGGGGCUUAACCCCGGGUCUGCAUUCGAUACGGGCAGGCUAGAGUGUGGUAGGGGAGAUCGGAAUUCCUGGUGUAGCGGUGAAAUGCGCAGAUAUCAGGAGGAACACCGGUGGCGAAGGCGGAUCUCUGGGCCAUUACUGACGCUCAUGCACGAAAGCGUGGGGAGCAAACAGG